UACAGAGGGUGCAAGCGUUAAUCGGAAUUACUGGGCGUAAAGCGCGCGUAGGUGGUUCGUUAAGUCGGGUGUGAAAGCCCCGGGCUCAACCUGGGAAUUGCAUUCGAGACUGAAUAGCUAGGGUACGGUAGAGGGAAGUGGAAUUUCCGGUGUAGCGGUGAAAUGCGUAGAUAUCGGAAGGAACAUCAGUGGCGAAAGCGACUUCCUGGACCAGUACCGACGUUCAGGCACGAAAGCGUGGGGAGCAAACAGG
Molecule: ribosomal RNA, 253 nt
Filed under: uncultured bacterium
Lineage: Bacteria
Description: partial 16S ribosomal RNA
Rfam family: Bacterial small subunit ribosomal RNA
Source: RNAcentral